RNAcentral lists this transfer RNA (78 nucleotides) under Pyrinomonadaceae bacterium. RNAcentral describes it as "tRNA-Asp". It matches the Rfam family "tRNA". From Rfam's summary of the family: Transfer RNA (tRNA) molecules are approximately 80 nucleotides in length. Their secondary structure includes four short double-helical elements and three loops (D, anti-codon, and T loops). The record is from RNAcentral. Lineage: Bacteria; Pseudomonadati; Acidobacteriota; Blastocatellia; Blastocatellales; Pyrinomonadaceae.
GGAACGGUAACUCAAAUGGCUAAGAGUGCUGGAUUGUCUAUCCAGAAGUUGCGGGUUCAAGUCCCGUCCGUUCCGCCA